AAAAGAAGCAGCGAUGACUUGAAUACCUGGCGAAACCGACACUGCCCGGCCGGCGGAGAGAAGAUCGCCGGAGCUCGAGGCCUCCUCCGAGCCCGCCGAUCCGCGACGGCAGCGUCGAAGAGCGAAGCGAAGCGGACAAAGAUUAUGGGCGAAAGAUGCGAUUGCUGUACUCGAUCACCUGGGAUGGGAAAGAGUCCAUGUCAUUGGCCGUUCAAUGGGUGACUAUGAUGGCUUGCAAGUUGGCUGCCAUGGUUGCCAACAGAGUUUUAUCUUUAGGGUUGCUCAAUGUGACUGGUGAAGGUUAUGAAUGUUUCCCAAAGGUAUUGCAUCCAUUUCAGUAUGCGAUGGUCCUUCCUUUGAAUAGAGAUUGACAUUUUUCUCCAUGCAAACUAAAAGGGGAAAGAAUGUUCUUCCCGGUUUCUUUUAUCAUUAAAAGAACUAUUUGUUUGUGUGGGUGUUCGCUGUUCAGUACUUUACAGACUGGUUGUUCAUUUAUUGCAUGCUGAGCCUCUUCCA
Molecule: long non-coding RNA, 516 nt
Organism: Syzygium oleosum
Lineage: Eukaryota; Viridiplantae; Streptophyta; Magnoliopsida; Myrtales; Myrtaceae
Exons: 3
Source: RefSeq, a predicted model, not a curated record